AGUGAACGCUGGCGGUAGGCCUAACACAUGCAAGUCGAACGGCAGCACAGUAAGAGCUUGCUCUUACGGGUGGCGAGUGGCGGACGGGUGAGGAAUACAUCGUAAUCUACUUUUUCGUGGGGGAUAACGUAGGGAAACUUACUCUAAUACCGCAUACGACCUACGGGUGAAAGCAGGGGAUCUUCGGACCUUGCGCGAUUGAAUGCGCCGAUGUCGGAUUAGCUAGUUGGCGGGGUAAAGGCCCACCAAGGCGACGAUCCGUAGCUGGUCUGAGAGGAUGAUCAGCCACACUGGAACUGAGACACGGUCCAGACUCCUACGGGAGGCAGCAGUGGGGAAUAUUGGACAAUGGGCGCAAGCCUGAUCCAGCCAUACCGCGUGGGUGAAGAAGGCCUUCGGGUUGUAAAGCCCUUUUGUUGGGAAAGAAAAGCAGCAGGUUAAGACCCCGCUGUUCUGACGGUACCCAAAGAAUAAGCACCGGCUAACUUCGUG
Molecule: ribosomal RNA, 492 nt
Filed under: uncultured bacterium
Lineage: Bacteria
Description: partial 16S ribosomal RNA
Rfam family: Bacterial small subunit ribosomal RNA
Source: RNAcentral